This 250-nucleotide ribosomal RNA is filed under the name uncultured bacterium. Its description in RNAcentral is "partial 16S ribosomal RNA". It matches the Rfam family "Bacterial small subunit ribosomal RNA", at positions 355 to 602 of the family's 1533-position model. The record is from RNAcentral.
UAAGGAAUAUUGGUCAAUGGACGGAAGUCUGAACCAGCCAUGCCGCGUGGAGGAUGAAGGUCCUCUGGAUUGUAAACUUCUUUUAUAGGGGGCGAAAAAAGGGAAUUCUUUCUCGUCUGACGGUACCCUAUGAAUAAGCACCGGCUAACUCCGUGCCAGCAGCCGCGGUAAUACGGAGGGUGCAAGCGUUAUCCGGAUUCACUGGGUUUAAAGGGAGCGUAGGCGGGCAUUUAAGUCCGUGGUGAAAGCC